This 1042-nucleotide long non-coding RNA is filed under the name Mytilus galloprovincialis (Mediterranean mussel). Lineage: Eukaryota; Metazoa; Mollusca; Bivalvia; Mytilida; Mytilidae. The record is from RNAcentral.
UUGGGGCGAAGGACCCAGGUUCGUAACCGGAAGUUCAACUUUCGAUACAAAUAAACAAAAAUCUUGGAAAUCUUGAACAGAGACAAUACCCGGAGUUAAGAAGCAGUAGCCAAAAGAAAUCAUUGCUAAAUGUUAGCUUGCUGGUGGAUUUAAGCAAAUAUUAUCAUUAUCUGUAUAUAUCCGGCUAUAAAUUUUGCGUGUACCUACACAUUUGUGUACUAAAAAUUGUCCAGAGUCGUUCAUCACAGUGUCAUGUAUACAUUUUUUAGUUGCUACUACUCUCUAGCCUAGACUAGGUCGAUAUGGUAUGAAUAGUUCAGUUAAAUCAAGAAUUUAGCCAUAUGUAAACAGGCCACAGCUUGAAUUAUUGUUGUAAUAACUCAAUUAUAUACUAAUAUUACACUAUGUUACUAUCAACUGACUAUGGAUUUAAGUUUAAUAAAUAUAUAAAUCUGUAUACAUUGUGUAUAUACUAAUUUUGAAUUAUUUUUUUUUUAAAUUAUUGUAACUAUUAUCGACACAACUACAUGUAUGAGUAUACAUAAUUUUUAAUUGUUAUUGUUUCUUUGUACAGUCAUUUGGUUUUCUUAUGUCAAUGCUAUGUAGAAUGGUGGAACUAAUAUUUACUUUUUGUUGAGUUGUAGCACAAUGUUGGGUAGAUCAGUUAGAGACCUUGCUCGGCCACAGAACACGGCCAAGGGUUGUAACAGUUGGACCAGAGACUUGGACAACAAGGACACACUAGUUUUUACAGAUGGGUUACCAGACUGGACUGGAUUCACGACUCAUCACGCCACUAACUCAACUCCUUUGGUCACCUACAUUUGUACAUUGAAUCAUCAUCAGAUGUUAUUUAUGCCAACCCCUAGAGCUUUGCAUUGGUAUGAUCCAGUUGAGAAUUUUUCAGGUAAUCGUCAGAUUUACUAGUUAAAAGCAGUAUAUUACUUUUAAGUUAAACCCCCGCAUGUACAAAAUGUACAUGUGAUUACAACAUAUAACAAACAUAUUUAUAUAGAUUAAGACAACUUUUUCUAAUCUUAUG